GGGGUGCAAAAAAAAAAAAAAAAAAAAAGGCCACAAAGUGUUAACACGCGUGGGUUUAACGCCGCAGAACUCUGUCGUCCACGAAGCGUGAACCAGAAAUAUUGUUUCUUAUAUAUUUCGGACCCACGCGGUGUAAGCCAUAAAACAACGUUUAUACAUCCGGUGUUGUUUUGGCGCGUUGAGACACAACAAUCAUGGCGGCUGUGUUGUCACCGGCGUGUUUAUGCGUGGGGGUUUUAUUUUAAAGCAGAGUGGGGUUGAACGCCCACUUCAAACACUAACACGCACGCACAUAACCUCCACGCUGCCACCUUUACGAGCACGCCAAGUGGACGACGUAUCUUGACUCUUCGUGCCGGAAGCGGCGCGCAUCGCAAAAUGGCAACCACGAACCACGUCGUCCUGUCAAGUCACCUUCAAACACGAACAAAUUCGGCGAAGAAAAGCGGACUUCUAAGGCGGACAGACGGGGCCUCUAACUGGGCUUGGCGCAGGCACGGCGGAGACCCCUGGCGGUAGACGGCUGUAACUGCAGUUGUAACGGAGCCGCAUCUACUUAUCCGGAAACAACAACAAAUUGUCAAGACUAGGACUAUGGUGUGGAUUGUUUUCCAGAGGUGCAAAGCGACUGGAUCGCACAUGGCAUGAAGGUAAUGACAUCUUUUAAAUUUAACACUCAAAAGUACUACAAAAACAAAGGGUAUAAACAAAAAACUCGCACAAAGGCAGAACUAUGGACAUAAAACUUGCAAACUAUGGCAUGAAUAAAGAAAACUUACUUGGAACGAGAAAUGAGCAUGAAAAAGAGCAGCAUGGGUCAUCAGCAUGAAUAACAAGUGUGUAUAAAGGGUGAUGUCGCCAGGCUCACUGCCUGGCAACUGCAGGCUUAAAUAGUGAUGCGGUGAUUGAUAACAGGUGCGUGAGUCCAAAUCAAUCAGGUGCGUGACAUGAGGACAGGUGAAAACUAAUAGGUUGUCAUGUUAAAAAAAAAAGCAGGGAAUGAAAAAAACAGGAAAUGACGAAAUCCAAAAACCAAACAGAACAUAGCCAAACUAAACAUGAUCACCAGGACAUGACACAAAUGUGUCCCGUGAAAAACCGUCCGACUGGAACUCUCUUAUAACUAAAGUUCCUUGGGUGAAUAAUGUACACUCACUACACCGGUAUGUUUUAGCGCUUAAAUGGUGAGUUUACUGACCGAUAUAAGUAAGGACUUUACACCACUUUACAUUAUCAAUGGCAACAGCGGAGGAUGAAUGUCACAUAACAAGGAGAUAGAGAAAAAGAAGAAGCUUAUCGACUUGGGUGUCGUCACAAACUACAAAGGCGGACUCACGCAAUUUUUCAGGACUUGCGCAGAUCCGACAUAUAGAUCAGCAUGUACCAGAAGGUAAGAAAAGUUGCUUUUGCAUGGUAUUGUGAAAUAAAACUCCAAAUAAUAUCUCUUACCCUAUACACACACCAUAAUAAUACUCAAAUGUUGAAGCACAGUACAAUCCAAUCUAGCGGUGCGGCUUCAUAGCUUACCAAAGUCGUACUAAAACAUUCUGAUAGAUUUUUUUAAAGCACCAUGUGUUAUGUUCUAUAUUUUCAAUGGAACAUAUGAAAUGUUGGUGUUAUUUACUUGAGUCGUUUUGCAAUCAAAAUGCCGUCUACACAUAUCUCCUAUGUUUGACUGCCAUCUACUGGUCACCCUUAUUACACCAUGUACCAAAUAAAACUGCUUUGAGGUCGGUAAGCAAA
Nerophis ophidion (straightnose pipefish) is the source of this 1743-nucleotide long non-coding RNA. RefSeq lists it as uncharacterized. The record is from RefSeq and is a predicted model, not a curated record. The transcript is spliced from 3 exons. Lineage: Eukaryota; Metazoa; Chordata; Actinopteri; Syngnathiformes; Syngnathidae.